AGUGGGAGCCAGGCUGGAGUCCGCUGGUGGAAGACAGGACACAGGCUGGAAAGGAAAACCCAACACGAUGACUGCCCCUCGCAGGCCACAGUCAGCCCGGCCCCAGGAGAGAGACCCGUGGAGCCCUAUGUCUCAGCAGGCAAGGUAGGGGGACGGGGCAGGGGCAGGGAGGUCCCCGAGUGCUGGCCAGGGGAGGAAUCUGCAGUGGUUGCCGGCUAAGGAGGGUCUGCCCUGGCCCCUGGGGCAUGGAGGCCCCACAGCCAGGCCCCACCCCCAGCUCCUGGGACCUGCUGGCCUUUUAGGAGACGGGGGAGGCUGGGCCUGACCUCUCUGCAGGUGGUGUCACUGCAGGGCCACACUGCACUGUGCUGGUUGUUGUCCAGGGUGGGCAGAUAGAGGGAUGUGGACGGUGGGAGCCAGGGGAAGGGCAGAAGGGGACACUGGGCCACCCUGGAGAAGCCAGGUCAGGGCUGGCCCAGCAGGAUGGGGGCUCUCUGCCUCUAUGGCCAGCAUUCCCAGCUGAGUCCCCAACUCUGCAGCCAGGAAGCCCCGUAGUGUGAAGGAUGGGGACAUCGCGAUGCCCUGGCCCUGAGCCCACCAGGUGGCCCCAGGGCCCCACCCUGCCUGGCUCUUCCUGCAUGGGUCUGGGGUGAUGGGGGCUCAUCUGAGGCCCAGUGCUGCCCACCUCGAAUCCCCAAAUCCCAAAUUGGAUUAGUUGUGUUUAGAAAGCAGCAAAGCUGCUAUAUUUGAGCAAAGGCUCAGCAGAUUACCCUGGGCCAAGAGGGUGUCUGCCUGUGUGAGGGGGAUUUGAGGAGGAAAAACUGCACUAAACAAGUGUUCAUUGAAAAGAAACUUGGGGGAUCAUCUGAGUCAGCCGGGCCCUCCACCUGCCCCAUAACACCUUCUCCAGCAUGGGCUCCUGCUGCUGCUGGGACAACCAAGCAGGAGUGGACGGGGUCAGGCCACAGGCCACUGGGCCCAAGGCCAGGAAGGGGCGCCCAGGACUGCCCAUGGGAGAAGGGCGUGGUGCCGACACGAGGUCACCUGGAGUCCCUGGGACUGGCCCUCCACCUCGUGACUCAGUCGCCACCCGGUGGCCCUCUCAGAAGCCCAGGGCCCAGCAUACAGGAAGCUCCAUGAGUGCUCAUCAUCACACACACUCCAGAGGCUGAGAACAUCUUGGAGGCCUGGGGCCUGCUGGCCAGACCCUGUCCUGGGCCCUGAACACAGGCUGGGCCUGGAAGGGACAGUGAGGGGGGCCAGAGCCCAUGCCUGCUCAGUGCAGCAAGCCCAGGCACCUGGUGGGUGGGCCCUGCAGCCAGGGAGGCCCCUGCACCCCACCCUUCCCAGCCCUGCCCUGGGUACCGUGUGCCACAUCUCAGAGCCCACCCAUGGGGCCCUCCCAACUCCAGCCAGGAGGGAGGAUAGAGAACUUUUAUUUCAGAAGAGUGCAAAUAAACAAAUCCUUCCUUCCCCCACCAUAAAGAGCCCGGCUGGCUUUAGGAGAGAAGGCAGAAUUUUUAGCCUCUCCUUUCCUCAAGGCACAGCAGGCCGAGCCUGUGUCACUCAUGGCCCCUUUUACAAGUAAAGAAUCCAGCUCUGGGCAGUCAGGUCUGCCCAGUGGAGGUGUUUGCCCUGGGGGGCCGGCUCACCUAUCCGUAGGACCUGGCUCCUAGGGGUCCAGCCAGUCCCUGGCCUCCUGUUGAUACGGAAAGGAAGUGCUGAGAAGGGAAAAGCGUGGUCCCUUUAAAUGAUACAGAGGAGGGACGGGAAGUGCUCCGUAGAGAAGGGCGUGGUCCCUGCCUAGGGCUCCACCCCCACGAACCUAGGUGAGGACAGGCAUUUCCUGCCCAAAUGUUGCAUUUCCCAAGACCACCCUGGCCUGCCAUGCCUCCAUCCUAUGCCUAUAAAAACCCAAGACCCUAGCAAGGCAGAGACAGAAGCCUCUGUGUGGGGAGAGGAACACACUGGUGGAAGAAGACAAGCUGCUGGACAUCCCGAGAAUGUUGCCUGACUCCAGGGGAAAACCAUCUCCCCUCUGGCUCCCCCAUCUGCUGAGAGCUACUUCCACUCAAUAAAACCUUGCACUCAUUCUCCAAGCCCACGUGUGAUCCAAUUUUUUGGUACACCAAGGCAAGAAACCCUGGGAUACAGAAAUUCCUCUGUCCUUGUUAUAAGGCAGGGGUCUAAUUGAGCUCACUCUCACCAGCCACCUACAGACCGCUAGACUAAAAGACCACCCGGUAACGCACUCCCACUGGGGUUUCAAGAGCUGUAAACAUUCACCCCCAGACACUGCCAUGGGGUCAGAGCCCCACAGCCUGCCCGUCUGUAUGCUCCCCUAGAGGUGUGAGCGGUGGGGCACUGAAGAAGCGAGCCACUCCCCCGCUGCAUGCCCUGCGCCCUGCGCGGGGUAACCAGGGAACCCUUCCUGUUUCACUGUUUCACUGGGUAGAGAUCUCCCGGCUGGAGACAGAAUGGUGGGGAGAGGCCAGAUGUGCCCAGCAGGUAGGGGAUUCUCCAGGGGGGAGGCUGAGGCUGUUAGGAAAGGAGGGGCUGAGGGGGCGCCACAGCCCUCCCCGCUCCGCACCACACCCCACGUUAAACCCCUGUCCUCCACUCCUCUCCUGGGGCUAAGGAGGCUGAGAGUAGAGCUCAGAGGCCCACGCCCAGCACACAGGAGGCAGUGGGGGCUGUGGACGGGGCCAACGAGCCAUGGGGUUGCUGGGCUGAAGCACCGGUGAUGGCAGGCGUGUGAGAGGGAAGUGGGGGUGAGCCAGCCCUGUGGGCCUCUAGGCCCAGCUUCUGGGUAUCCUGGCCCCCUGGAAUGACCCAGGGCAGGAGCCUCUGACACCCGCCCCAAAUGCCUGUGACCCCGUCCUGAGUGGGGGUCCUCCUUCUGGCCGUGACCGCCCUGGAGUGGCUUCUCAGCAUUUUGUGGUCAGCACUCUCAGCCCCUCUGCCUUGCACCGUGUCAUUUUCAGCAGAUCCUGAGCCAGAGAAGGCCAUCAAUUAUUCAGCUCCUGCCUCUCAGCCUCCUCCGUUAGUACCUCUUAAAGCCGGGAAGAUAAAUCUCUCCGCUUGCUCCGUGGCGCCGACAGGAAGCAGGGCGGCACCAGGACCGUGACAGGCCCCGGCUGGGCCCCGGUUUCCCGAGCCAGCACAGGCGGCCUGCAAGGCUUCUCUGCUAUUAAAUCCAUAAUUCAGCGGCAACGCAGCUGGGGCCUGGCACACAGGGUCCCUGUGAUGAGGAGGGGCUGCCCCUGCCGGAAUGCACCAGAGGCUGCCACCAGGGAGAGAGUUACAAGGACCACUUCCGUGGACCUGGCAGGUCCUAGGGCCCCCUUUAAAAUUGUGCCUGGGGAGAGUCCCUGGCGCUGCUCCGGAGGAUCAUGGAGCCCGACUCUACUCACAGGGGAGACCACACAGCUUCUGCGGGGCAAGACAGCUGAGGAGCAUGUCAGGCAAGCGACGGGCAUGGGGGGUGGGGGGGAGCACAGCGUGGUCUGCAUGCCCUCAGCCACGCCCAGGGUGACCCUGGAGGCCUGCAUGGAAGACCCUGGAAGCGUCCUUGGCCACCCCUGGUGGAAGAGACAGCUCCAGCCUCACCUUUCUAGGACAGUGCCAUCUGCCACCAAGGCAGCUCCAGAGAGUGGGACAGCUGUGAGAGGCGGGACCUGUCCAGGCUCCCUGAUGGGCACUCACAGCCCCCUUCACCCUCAGCGAGGCACUUGCCCCAAUGAAAACUGAGCAGUUGGACAAUCUGAUGUCUUGGAGGGUCCAGGUCAGCCCCCCACCCCAAUGCCCAGCCCUGCAUAACCAAGGAAGCGUUUGUUGAAUGGCUGAGUCCCACCCCUGCUCCAACCUUGGCAGGCCUUGGAGUGUCCCCGGCAGGAAGUGGAGGGUGAACACAGGGGGACAAAGUAACAGGGCAGCAGAGCUGGGGUGGGGCCAGGCUGGGCAGACUGGGGAAUGAGACCUACUCAGAACACCGCCCUCGGCAGAGCCACCCACCCCUAUCCUUGCAAACCCUCUGCCCCAGGGCCCACUCUAAACCCAUGAGAGCUGUGGCAGGACAGGGUGACUCCAGGCCUGGCCAGGAGGCUCCGGCUGACUCCGCCCCCUUCUCCUUCCCCUCCCCACUUCCCAUUCCACAGGCCUCCACAGGGCAGGGGCCGUGACAGGGGUGACAGAAGUUCGGAGAGGUCACUGAGUCCCUGCAAUUAGCAGUAAUGAGUUGACACAUGCCACAGGUCAAGUGCUAAUGCAGGCUGAUAAUUAACUCAACCUGCUAGGAAGCGGUGCAGCCCCUCCUCCCUCUGAUCAAUUAUCCUCAGGAUGUUGAACAGCCCCGCCCCAGGGCUAAUGGGGUCACAUUCCAACCAUAAUGACGUGGCUGCUGCACCAGAAACACUGGGCUGGUGCCGGGAACACCCCCAUCCCAGACUGGAGACCUCCCCCAGCCCCUCCAGAUGAGGGUCCUGCCCUGCUCACUGGCUCCUGCCCCAACCCUGCUCCUGGGGCCUUCCUGACUCGCCACCUUGCACUUCCCAGGGACAGUACACCCAGCAGCCUGUCCCAGCCUAUGUCUCAGCAGACCAGGCUCUGCGAGACACCCCCUCCAGCCUCCACCUCCCAGCACUGCCUCCAGAACAGGGGCCAUUCAGACUCGUGGCUUGCUGUCCUCUGCCCUGCAUCUCAGGCUGCUCCCAGCCCAUGUCCAGUUUUGGGUGCUAGCCACAGUGCUACACUGACCAUCUGGUACCUGCUUCUGCCACAGCUUCGGGGCCCUCCUGGGGCCAGCCAGCCCUGGACAAAGCAGACCCGACCCCUCCCUCCCUCUGGGCCUUGACCUCUGUUUCUGUUGCCAGCUGUGGUACCUGAGCCAGCAGCAACCCAAACAGGGAAGCAAGAAACUCUGUAGCUGCUUCUGUGCCUCUUUCUUCUUGGGGACAAGCCAAGCCUGUGUCUCCAUCUCACUCAAUCGUCGGGUCUGUGCCCAAGGUCAGGGCCAUCGUGCUCCAUCCAUGGGCCGGCCUUGUCUUAGAGGCCGAGGGGCCUGGCCCCAUCUGUGCCUGGCUUGGUAACAGUUCUGCAGUGUCCCAGGAAUAUUCCCUUGCCCAUCUCAGGACAGGAGCUCACUCUGAGGGCCUGCCCCUCUUUGGGAACUACCCCCUCUGGCAGCUGGGGGUGAGCAUGCUAGGUCUCAGUGAGCACAUCUCUCAGGUCCCUGACCCCUGGGCACCCCCGUAGGCUUCUUGUAUUGCCGGGGGGCAGGAAUGGGCCCCUCCUGCAUGCUGCCCCCACAUGGUAGGGCCCAGACCUCCGUCUCCCCUGCAGUCCCACAGCCCCUGCCAAGGGCAUCUGCGACUGGAAACUCCACCGCGGUGAUCCUGAGCUGCUGGGAAGAUGGGUUUUGAUGGUACCGCUGCUCAGAGGGCAAGGGGCACCAGUGCCAGCCACCACAUCAGGCACCAUCUGCUGGUGCAGGAGGCCGGUGAGGGAGCCGAGGGGACACUCAGUUCAGAACGUCCUCUGCCCUGUGGCAGCGAGAUUGUUGCGGCUUCACAGCAAGCAAAUGCACGUUCCAUGGGCUUAAUUCUAUCAAUCCCCAAAGACCUGAUGGCCCCUGCGUGCGGGGUGUCGCGCUUCAGUGCACACGGGGGGCCUUAAGCAGCGAGGUCCACACAGACCCCAGGAGUGGCCAGGAACCCUCUAGGGUCUGUGGCACUCAGGCCAGAGGCUGGGAAUUCAGAGCCUUAUGACCAAGGGGCCCAGGAAGUCCUUGAGAAGAAUCACCUCUGAAACAUUCUGGGAGCGCCUCCCAGGCAGCCGGCACUACACGGGGCAC
RNAcentral lists this long non-coding RNA (5851 nucleotides) under Homo sapiens (human). RNAcentral describes it as "non-protein coding lnc-RTN4R-1:4". Lineage: Eukaryota; Metazoa; Chordata; Mammalia; Primates; Hominidae. The record is from RNAcentral.